This 2644-nucleotide long non-coding RNA is filed under the name Homo sapiens (human). RNAcentral's name for it is "HSALNT0388442". The record is from RNAcentral. Lineage: Eukaryota; Metazoa; Chordata; Mammalia; Primates; Hominidae.
CUUUCUCUCUUCGCCUGCUGCCGUCCAUGUAAGAUGGGACUUGCUCCUCCUUGCCUUCCACCAUGAUUGUGAGGCUUCCUCAGCCACGUGGAACUAUGCCCUGACCUUCCGGGAAACCCUCGGUGAGAGGCCCACAGCCUCGCUUCUAGGGUCACCACUGCUUCUUCCAGUCUAGCCAAACAGCUCCUAGUACAGCUCAGAGCACCCUGCAAGGAGGGCACGUGUUAAAUCGAGGAGCACACAUGCUCCACGAGGAAUUCUUUGCUUUGAGGCCAUGCACAGAGGUGGGUUCACUAUGAAGCUUGUGAAAUAAGCUUCAGGGCCCGCAUUUGCAUGGGCCACAGAGAGUCUGGGAGCUGCAGAAGGUUCAAGGGAAGAGGAGCCAUCACAAGCAGAAUAUUCUAGAAGGCAUUUCUGGCAAAUGGCCCAAAGAGGCCUCAGGAGAAAAGAACUUGAGUCUUCAAGAGGCCUGAGAGAACUUGUUCACCCCUUCUACCACAUGAGGAUGCAAUGAGAAGGCACCAUCUGUGAGGAACAGGCCUCCGACAGACACCGAAUUUGCUGGCACUUUGAUCUUGGACUUCCCAGCCUCCAAAAUUAUCCAUAAUGGAUUCCUGGGACAUUUUCAGAUCUCCUUCCAGCUUCCUCUUCGCCCUUUCCAAGUCCGCCCGCAGUUUCUUCUCCUGCUCUAAGGAACCCUCAAGCUGAGAAGACACACAGAGACAAGGGCUUGCUCUGUUGCCCAAGCUAAAGUGCAGUGGUGUGAGUGUAGCCCACUGCAUCCUCACACUCCUGUGCUCAAGUGAUCCUCCCACCUCAGCCUCCCAAGUAGCUGGAACUACAAGAUGGAGUCUCGCUGCGAUGCCCAGGCUGGAGUGCAAUGGUGCAAUCUUGGCUCACUGCAACCUUCGUUUCCCAGGUUUAAGCAAUUCUCCUGCCUCAGCCUCCCAAGUAUCUGGGACUACAGGCGAGCGUCACCAUGCCUGGCUAAUUUUUGUAUUUUUAGUAGAGAUGUUUAGUAGAGAGUUUCACCAUAUUGGCCAGGCUGGUCUUGAACUCCUGACCUCAAGGGAUCCGCCCACCUUGGCCUCUCAAAGUGCUGGGAUUACAGGCGUGAGCCACCGUGCCUGGCAAUGUUUGUAGUUUCUUUCAUGAAUUUACCUCCUUUUAUUCUUUAAUCCCUGCUUAUCUCUAAAGAGUAAGUAACUGAAAGUAAUAAAACGGAAUUUUCUCAACAAUAUUUUAUAAGUUGAUUUCUUUUUCUUUCCUACAGGAAACAACCCAAUUUGCCAUCUUAAUUUGGAGUCUACUUUUUCUGAAUGACUCAGUUUUCUCUGAUACUUAAUCAAGAUGCAGCCUUGGGGGAAAAUGUCAUGUCCCAGUCUCCCCCAUGUUCCUUUCCCUUCAUCCCACUUUGUCCCCGGGGUCUAGCAUGACUGUGUGUUUGGAUUGGGGAAGUGAAGGCAGGAAAGUCGCUUCCCCAAAUCCGCAUCCACACAGGGUCUUAUGUUAGAGUUGAUGUUAUCUCUAGGCGAGGUUAUGCAAUGUAGUUACAGAGACAUUGUGAUUAGAUUCAAAGAAAAUGAUUUUCAUCAUUGAAGUUUACGCAUGUGCCCAUUUCCUAUUUAUUACAUUCCCUGGCCCAGAGGACAUUAGGCUUUCAUUUUUAAAAAAUGAUCUCAUUAUCUAAUGAAUAAUUAUAUUUCAUAUAUUUUAUUAAUUUAUUAAAUGUAUGCAUUUAAAAUGGCAUAUAAUGUUAAAACUCUAUGUUGGCUACUAUUUAAAAGUAUAUUUACUGGUAAUCUUAAAAAGUGUUACUGGCUUGUGUUACUUAUUUAUUUGUUUGAGAUAGGGUCUCACUCUGUCAUCCGGGCUGGAGUACAGUGGCCCAAUCAUGGCUCGCUGCAAUUUCAGCCACCCAAUCUCAUGUGAUCCUCCCAGCUCAGGUUCCCAAGUAGCUGGACUACAGGUGUGCACCACCACUUUUGGCUAAUUAUUUUAUUUUAUCUUAUUUUAUUUUGUUUUAGAGACAGGAUCUCUAUGUUGCCCACACUGGUCUUGAACUCCUGGCCUCAAAUGAUCCUUCUGCCUCAGCGUCCCAAAGUGUUGGGAUUACAGGUGUAAGCCACCACGCCUGGCCCCUGUGUAACCACUCUGGAAAAGAGUUCAGAAGUUACUCAAAAUUUUGAACACAGUUAUCAUAUGACCCAGCAACUCUACUCCUAGGUACCGUAUAUAUAUACCGUGUAUACCCAAAAGAAUUGCCAAUAUAUAUUCACAUAUAAACUUCUAUACAAAUGUUCAUAGCAACAUCAUGCACAGUAGCCAGAAAGUUCAUCGGCUGAUGAAUGUGCAGACAAAAUGUGAUAUAUUCAUACAAUGAACUAUUAUUUGUCCAUAAGAAAGAACAAAGUCCUGAUACAUGCUACAACAGGGCCAGACCUUGAGAACAGUAACCUGAAAGAAGCCAGACACAAAAGAGCAUCCAGUAUAUAAUUCCAUUCACAUGAAAUGCCCAGAUAGGCAAAUCUACAGGGACAGAAAGUUGAUGAGUGGUUGCCAGAGGCUAGGGAUAGAAAUCUGCUCAUGGGGACAGGCAUGAUGGCUCGUGCCUAUAAUCCCAGCACUUUGGGAGGUCGAGGCG